CGCUUAGGCGUGUGACUGCGUACCUUUUGUAUAAUGGGUCAGCGACUUAUAUUCUGUAGCAAGGUUAACCGAAUAGGGGAGCCGAAGGGAAACCGAGUCUUAACUGGGCGUUAAGUUGCAGGGUAUAGACCCGAAACCCGGUGAUCUAGCCAUGGGCAGGUUGAAGGUUGGGUAACACUAACUGGAGGACCGAACCGACUAAUGUUGAAAAAUUAGCGGAUGACUUGUGGCUGGGGGUGAAAGGCCAAUCAAACCGGGAGAUAGCUGGUUCUCCCCGAAAGCUAUUUAGGUAGCGCCUCGUGAAUUCAUCUCCGGGGGUAGAGCACUGUUUCGGCAAGGGGGUCAUCCCGACUUACCAACCCGAUGCAAACUGCGAAUACCGGAGAAUGUUAUCACGGGAGACACACGGCGGGUGCUAACGUCCGUCGUGAAGAGGGAAACAACCCAGACCGCCAGCUAAGGUCCCAAAGUCAUGGUUAAGUGGGAAACGAUGUGGGAAGGCCCAGACAGCCAGGAUGUUGGCUUAGAAGCAGCCAUCAUUUAAAGAAAGCGUAAUAGCUCACUGGUCGAGUCGGCCUGCGCGGAAGAUGUAACGGGGCUAAACCAUGCACCGAAGCUGCGGCAGCGACGCUUAUGCGUUGUUGGGUAGGGGAGCGUUCUGUAAGCCUGUGAAGGUGUGCUGUGAGGCAUGCUGGAGGUAUCAGAAGUGCGAAUGCUGACAUAAGUAACGAUAAAGCGGGUGAAAAGCCCGCUCGCCGGAAGACCAAGGGUUCCUGUCCAACGUUAAUCGGGGCAGGGUGAGUCGACCCCUAAGGCGAGGCCGAAAGGCGUAGUCGAUGGGAAACAGGUUAAUAUUCCUGUACUUGGUGUUACUGCGAAGGGGGGACGGAGAAGGCUAUGUUGGCCGGGCGACGGUUGUCCCGGUUUAAGCGUGUAGGCUGGUUUUCCAGGCAAAUCCGGAAAAUCAAGGCUGAGGCGUGAUGACGAGGCACUACGGUGCUGAAGCAACAAAUGCCCUGCUUCCAGGAAAAGCCUCUAAGCAUCAGGUAACAUCAAAUCGUACCCCAAACCGACACAGGUGGUCAGGUAGAGAAUACCAAGGCGCUUGAGAGAACUCGGGUGAAGGAACUAGGCAAAAUGGUGCCGUAACUUCGGGAGAAGGCACGCUGAUAUGUAGGUGAAGUCCCUCGCGGAUGGAGCUGAAAUCAGUCGAAGAUACCAGCUGGCUGCAACUGUUUAUUAAAAACACAGCACUGUGCAAACACGAAAGUGGACGUAUACGGUGUGACGCCUGCCCGGUGCCGGAAGGUUAAUUGAUGGGGUCAGCGCAAGCGAAGCUCUUGAUCGAAGCCCCGGUAAACGGCGGCCGUAACUAUAACGGUCCUAAGGUAGCGAAAUUCCUUGUCGGGUAAGUUCCGACCUGCACGAAUGGCGUAAUGAUGGCCAGGCUGUCUCCACCCGAGACUCAGUGAAAUUGAACUCGCUGUGAAGAUGCAGUGUACCCGCGGCAAGACGGAAAGACCCCGUGAACCUUUACUAUAGCUUGACACUGAACAUUGAGCCUUGAUG
This 1569-nucleotide ribosomal RNA is filed under the name Escherichia coli. RNAcentral's name for it is "partial 23S ribosomal RNA". It matches the Rfam family "Bacterial large subunit ribosomal RNA", at positions 582 to 2136 of the family's 2925-position model. Lineage: Bacteria; Pseudomonadati; Pseudomonadota; Gammaproteobacteria; Enterobacterales; Enterobacteriaceae. The record is from RNAcentral.